CUGGCUCAGGACGAACGCUGGCGGCGUGCCUAACACAUGCAAGUCGAACGGUUUUCGAGGUUCGACAUUCGAGGUUCGAAGUUCGAGUAAAAGCAAAUCGAACUUCGAAUUUCGAACGUCGAACUUCGAGAAUAGUGGCGCACGGGUGAGUAACGCG
Molecule: ribosomal RNA, 157 nt
Filed under: Desulforamulus hydrothermalis Lam5 = DSM 18033
Lineage: Bacteria; Bacillati; Bacillota; Clostridia; Eubacteriales; Peptococcaceae
Description: Desulfotomaculum hydrothermale Lam5 = DSM 18033 16S rRNA. Bacterial SSU
Rfam family: Bacterial small subunit ribosomal RNA
Source: RNAcentral